Molecule: ribosomal RNA, 254 nt
Filed under: uncultured bacterium
Lineage: Bacteria
Description: partial 16S ribosomal RNA
Rfam family: Bacterial small subunit ribosomal RNA
Source: RNAcentral
UACGAAGGGGGCUAGCGUUGCUCGGAAUCACUGGGCGUAAAGGGUGCGUAGGCGGGUCUUUUAAGUCAGGGGUGAAAUCCUGGAGCUCAACUCCAGAACUGCCUUUGAUACUGAGGAUCUUGAGUUCGGGAGAGGUGAGUGGAACUGCGAGUGUAGAGGUGAAAUUCGUAGAUAUUCGCAAGAACACCAAUUGCGAAGGCAGCUGGCUACAGGUAUAUUGACACUGAGGCUCGAAAGCGUGGGGAUCAAACAGG